UCAGAACGAACGCUGGCGGCAUGCCUAACACAUGCAAGUCGAACGCCCUCUUUUAGAGGGAGUGGCGCACGGGUGCGUAACGCGUGGGAACCUGCCCUUAGGUUCGGAAUAACUCAGAGAAAUUUGAGCUAAUACCGGAUAAUGUCUUCGGACCAAAGAUUUAUCGCCUUUGGAUGGGCCCGCGUAGGAUUAGAUAGUUGGUGGGGUAAUGGCCUACCAAGUCGACGAUCCUUAGCUGGUCUGAGAGGAUGAUCAGCCACACUGGGACUGAGACACGGCCCAGACUCCUACGGGAGGCAGCAGUGGGGAAUAUUGGACAAUGGGCGAAAGCCUGAUCCAGCAAUGCCGCGUGAGUGAUGAAGGCCUUAGGGUUGUAAAGCUCUUUUACCAGGGAUGAUAAUGACAGUACCUGGAGAAUAAGCUCCGGCUAACUCCGUGCCAGCAGCCGCGGUAAUACGGAGGGAGCUAGCGUUGUUCGGAAUUACUGGGCGUAAAGCGCACGUAGGCGGCUUUUCAAGUCAGGGGUGAAAUCCCGGGGCUCAACCCCGGAACUGCCCUUGAAACUGGAUGGCUAGAAUACUGGAGAGGUGAGUGGAAUUCCGAGUGUAGAGGUGAAAUUCGUAGAUAUUCGGAAGGAACACCAGUGGCGGAAGGGCGGAUCAUACACUAGA
RNAcentral lists this ribosomal RNA (671 nucleotides) under Erythrobacter sp. Pbc-abBscn2a. Its description in RNAcentral is "bacterial SSU rRNA". It matches the Rfam family "Bacterial small subunit ribosomal RNA", at positions 24 to 737 of the family's 1533-position model. Lineage: Bacteria; Pseudomonadati; Pseudomonadota; Alphaproteobacteria; Sphingomonadales; Erythrobacteraceae. The record is from RNAcentral.